UAUGGACAGAAAUAAGAAUAUUUUGGGUUCUUUGAUUACCAAUCUCUAUUUUUGGAAUAUAGAAGGAAUAACUUUUGCACUUAACCAUCUAAACUCUUUGGCCAUGCUAUUCUUUGCAGAUAUACUCCUUUUCACUGAAACAUUUAACUGAAAAAAUAUGAUACUAAAUGGAUGCUACUUAUUUGAAAAUUUAGCUGAAAAAUAUAACUGGGGAAGACCUGUCAGCAGUUUAUUGAUAGCUUGUAAGCCAUAUUUAGAGCUUAAUUUAAUCACCAGCAAUAAGAGUCACAUUAUACUGAAUACACUCAUUGGCAUUGAAAUCCUUAUAUAUUACAAUGACCUAAGCACUAUACUCUUUUAAUCUCACAUCUUGUCUGAAUAUCAUAGACUCAAACUCAAAACAUAUAAUAAUAACUGGCAACUUCAACUACUAGAUCUAUCUAAUCAUAAAGAAGAUGGCCUUAUUGAAUUUCUCUCAUUUCAUGGCUUUUUGUUGUUAAUAACCCAACUGAUCUCACUUAUUUUGACUACAGAGGAAGUGGCUGUAUUGACCUUGUAUUUCAAAGAGUAUCUUCCACCUUCAAACUAAGAAUAGAAAUAUGAUAAAACCUUACCAGAAAACAUCUUGAAAUCUCCCUAGAAUUGAAAUCCCCUGCAAACGGGAUUAUAAAUAAGCCAAAUCAGAUAAAACCAAAACCACCAAGGGUCUAUAUAUCAAUUGAGAAUAUAGACACCACAUACCUAAAAAAUAUACUCACCAAUAUUUUAGAUAAAAAUGAAAUAGUAAAAGCCAUGGACAGCUUCAUCGAUCACCUCAUUACAGCCUGUCAUAUACAAACCAAAAAGAAAAACUGGCACAAACCUUGGUUUGGCUGGGAAUGCAGAAAUUGCAAACAAGAAGCAUUGAGUUUAUUUCGACUUAGCAAAUAAGAUCCACUUUUAAAAGAAGAGUAUUUAAAAGUGAAGAAGGAAUAUAAAACCAUACUUAAAUUAAAAUCACAACAAUUUAGAGAAAACUAGACUUUACAGAAAACAGAAGAUAAUGAUAAAACCCUUAGAUAUGUUCCCAAGAUACAAACAAAACUAUAUUCCCAUCUCUGAUGGCCUUACACUGGAAAACCAUUUCAAGCAACUACUAACAGACUCUAAGCCUGUAAAUGAGAUACACUCAUAUUCUGACUUGGUAAAUUCUCUUCUCUUUCAUCCAUUUCCUCUAUAAGAGAAUGGGUGAAAGAGAAGACCUAAAUAACUUCAGAGGAAUCUCUCUCUUCUUAUGCCCAUACAAAAUAUUGUCCUCUCUGAUAUAUCACAGAUUAAGAGAUUAUUUAGAUGCUCCUAGCUGAGCAGUUUGGAUUCAGACAAGAUAAAUCAACAUGCCAUGCAAUAAAACAUCUCACAGAUGAUAUUAAAGAAAAUUUGAACAAACUCAAGGGGAGAAACUCUUUUGUGCAUUUAUAAAUUUCAGUAAAGCAAUUGACUUGAUCUCUAG
RNAcentral lists this long non-coding RNA (1489 nucleotides) under Androctonus crassicauda. The record is from RNAcentral. Lineage: Eukaryota; Metazoa; Arthropoda; Arachnida; Scorpiones; Buthidae.